GCUUACGGCCAUACCACCUUAGGCACGCCCGAUCUCGUCUGAUCUCGGAAGCUAAGCAGGGUCGGGCCUGGUUAGUACUUGGAUGGUUGACCGCCUGGGAAUACCAGGUGCUGUAAGGA
Molecule: ribosomal RNA, 119 nt
Organism: Gadus morhua (Atlantic cod)
Lineage: Eukaryota; Metazoa; Chordata; Actinopteri; Gadiformes; Gadidae
Source: Ensembl